RNAcentral lists this ribosomal RNA (255 nucleotides) under uncultured bacterium. RNAcentral's name for it is "partial 16S ribosomal RNA". It matches the Rfam family "Bacterial small subunit ribosomal RNA", at positions 524 to 776 of the family's 1533-position model. The record is from RNAcentral.
UACGUAGGGUGCGAGCGUUGUCCGGAAUUAUUGGGCGUAAAGAGCUCGUAGGCGGUGUGUCGCGUCGGCCGUGAAAACCUGCAGCUUAACUGUGGGCUUGCGGUCGAUACGGGCAUCACUGGAGUUCGGCAGGGGAGACUGGAAUUCCUGGUGUAGCGGUGAAAUGCGCAGAUAUCGGGAGGAACACCGGUGGCGAAGGCGGUUCUCUGGGCCGUUACCUGACGCUGAGGAGCGAAAGCGUGGGGAGCGAACAGG